This 428-nucleotide ribosomal RNA is filed under the name uncultured prokaryote. RNAcentral describes it as "bacterial SSU rRNA". It matches the Rfam family "Bacterial small subunit ribosomal RNA", at positions 355 to 774 of the family's 1533-position model. The record is from RNAcentral.
UGGGGAAUUUUGCGCAAUGGGGGCAACCCUGACGCAGCGACGCCGCGUGAGUGAGGAAGGCCUUCGGGUCGUAAAGCUCUGUCAAAGGGAAAGAAGUGCAUGGUGGCUAAUACCUGCCAUGUUUGACGGUACCCUUAAAGGAAGCACCGGCUAACUCCGUGCCAGCAGCCGCGGUAAUACGGAGGGUGCAAGCGUUGUUCGGAAUCACUGGGCGUAAAGGGCGCGCAGGCGGUUUGGUAAGUCAGAUGUGAAAGCCCACGGCUUAACCGUGGAAGUGCAUUUGAUACUGCCAGACUUGAGUACCAGAGGGGAAAGUGGAAUUCCCAGUGUAGAGGUGAAAUUCGUAGAUAUCGGGAGGAAUACCGGUGGCGAAGGCGACUUUCUGGCUGAGUACUGACGCUGAGGCGCGAAAGCGUGGGGAGCAAACA